CCGCACUGUUCGUAACCCGGCUCAGCCUCCAUCUGAGCUGCCGGUUCCAUUCCAGUGCCACAGAGACCCCCAGUGAGGCAGGGGAGCCGUGUCCAUCUGCGCCGGCUCCCUGUUCACUCUCUGGGAACACCC
This is a small nucleolar RNA of Fundulus heteroclitus (mummichog), 132 nucleotides long. The record is from Ensembl. NCBI's taxonomy places the organism in Eukaryota, Metazoa, Chordata, Actinopteri, Cyprinodontiformes, Fundulidae.